CUGGACGAAUCGAGGCUAGUAACAUGGGCUGUCCACAAGGCUUGGCGUUUCGUCGAAUGGGCCAAGCGCGAAGCGCGGCGUCGACCACUAGCGAGGGUCGACGGCAUAGCGGACGGGGCUGUGCACAACACAUUAUUUCUCACGGGUAUUCCGUCGAACAGCCAAGGGGCAUUGAAGAGAACAGCAAGGGCGCUCAGCUAUGGGAGGGAAGCAGGGGCGCCAUGGAGGUUGCUGCCGCUGCUUGGUGUUUUGAAGGGUGGGCUGUUGUUCUUCCCUGCGCUUGAGGGGUUUCCUGCGCACGAGCAGAGAGGGAGGGAGGUGCCAUGGCUGCCACAGAGGGCGUCGGCCAAGGGAACUGCUCCCUGCGCGCAGGGGAGAAAAAGGCUCCCUGCUCUUAACGCAGUGGAGAAGAGGGGGCGUUGGGCAGAGGAAGAAGAAGGGCUUGGGCGCCAUGGCUGA
RNAcentral lists this unclassified non-coding RNA (459 nucleotides) under Zea mays. Its description in RNAcentral is "misc RNA Zm00001eb032080". Lineage: Eukaryota; Viridiplantae; Streptophyta; Magnoliopsida; Poales; Poaceae. The record is from RNAcentral.